AUGUGCGUAGCUACCAAGUAUGAUUCUGAUGUGAAUACUACGACACACACAAUUACUCAAUCAGUAGCUAAUAGAAUUGAAGAAUUUAAGGAGCAGCUUCACAAAGAUCUUGAAAAUAUUUUACCUAGUCAUGUUCGGUCGUUAGUGCUGCAAAUCAACGAUGAUUAUUCUGAGAAAAUACCGAUUGAGAAUAGUGGCUUCAUUAACUUUCCUAGUAAUAAUCAUAAACCUGGAGCAUCGGCUAAUAACAUUGUGCAGCCCCAUGUUCCUUCAAAUAGUGAUCAAGGUGGCCGGAACUAUGAGAGCAGUUCGGCUAAUAAUUUUAUGCCUAGCGUAGCUGCUCCUAUUGUCUCAACUUCGGCUCCACAAAAUCACAACAGCAAUAACCGAAGUGCUAGUUCGAAUUCUAGUUUCCAACAACUUUUUUAUCCAACUGUAGAAUAUAGUACACCACCGCUAUUGACUGUCAGUACCGGGAUUCCGUGCAGGCCGGUACCCGAUUCAUAUUUUAAUGGGUCUCCGUUGCAAGCAUCACAAGCUCAAAUUUCUUUGCCUGAGUUUCCAUCAUGUGCUAGCGUUCCAUCUGCUCCACAAACUAGUUCUCUGCAGCCGAAUGAUAGUUUUAAGGAUAAGCUUGCUAGUAUACUAAGAGAAUUUGGUUUAGAACCUAAGAGUAAAGCACGUGCAUAUCAAAAACAUACCCUGAUUACUUCGAUUCGACGGCUUAUCCUCGCGAUUUUAGAAUUCCUGACUUUGUUAGGUUUACAGGGGAAGAUGGUAGAUCCACUUUCGAGCAUAUCGGACAAUUUCUAG
This 813-nucleotide ribosomal RNA is filed under the name Triticum aestivum (bread wheat). RNAcentral describes it as "partial small subunit ribosomal RNA". Lineage: Eukaryota; Viridiplantae; Streptophyta; Magnoliopsida; Poales; Poaceae. The record is from RNAcentral.